This is a long non-coding RNA of Rhineura floridana, 759 nucleotides long. RefSeq lists it as uncharacterized. NCBI's taxonomy places the organism in Eukaryota, Metazoa, Chordata, Lepidosauria, Squamata, Rhineuridae. The record is from RefSeq and is a predicted model, not a curated record. The transcript is spliced from 5 exons.
GUUCAUUCAAGAAACAAAAACUGGAUCUAAGAUUGCAAUCCUAUACUCACGUACUCCAAUGGAAGGUCUCCAGACAGAGAAAUUAUCAUUCUCCAGAAAGAAUUUUUCAAGUAAACUGUCAGAGGUUAUCCUUAGGGCUGUACAACAUGAGGUGGGAUAUAAAUAUGAAGAACUAAGAAAGAAGACCCUGAAACUAUUAUCCAGACAGCUGAGCCACAGUAGUGGCUCAUCAGGAUCUCCUGUCUCAACCUGACUAAUUGGCAGUUGGACAUGUAGACGAUUACCCAUCCUGGUGCUUUGGAGAAGGAAUGGAAUGCAUGAAUGAGAUACAUGUGAUUGGAUGUUCUUCAGAGAGCCACAGUUGGCUACAUGUUUUCACUGAGCAAAACCAGGUGCCUGUGCCACACCCUGCAAGGAGUGCCGUUCCAGCCACGUGUGAGGGAGCUGCCUUCAGCAGCCGCAAUCCAGCAGACAAGGAACUACAUCCUGACUACGUUGGAAUGUAACCCCGCCGCCCCCCAAAAGACUUUGUUAAAAGGAACUUCUCUCUUGGAGGAUUUGUUAACUGAGUGCCUGAUUGAGAUCGCUAUAAAGGCCGCUUGACUGGAUGAAAAGUUCUCACUGAACUACGCAAGUGAUUCUUGAUGUUCAGAGCAAAAGAAGAGAAUACUUCUGCAGUCAAACAAUAAUGUUUGGUUCAAAUGGAUAGAAAACUGAAGCUUUAGAAGAGUGAUCUCUUUUGAAAACAUUUAAAAACUU